UACGAAGGGGGCUAGCGUUGCUCGGAAUUACUGGGCGUAAAGGGCGCGUAGGCGGAUAGUUUAGUCAGAGGUGAAAGCCCAGGGCUCAACCUUGGAAUUGCCUUUGAUACUGGCUGUCUUGAGUUCGGGAGAGGUGAGUGGAAUGCCGAGUGUAGAGGUGAAAUUCGUAGAUAUUCGGCGGAACACCAGUGGCGAAGGCGACUCACUGGCCCGGUUCUGACGCUGAAGCGCGAAAGCGUGGGGAGCAAACGGG
This 253-nucleotide ribosomal RNA is filed under the name uncultured bacterium. RNAcentral describes it as "partial 16S ribosomal RNA". It matches the Rfam family "Bacterial small subunit ribosomal RNA", at positions 524 to 776 of the family's 1533-position model. The record is from RNAcentral.